UCCAGACUCCUACGGGAGGCAGCAGUGGGGAAUAUUGCACAAUGGGGGGAACCCUGAUGCAGCGACGCCGCGUGGGUGAAGGAGCACCUCGGUGCGUAAAGCCCUAUCGGCAGGGAAGAAACAGACGGUACCUGACUAAGAAGCCCCGGCUAACUACGUGCCAGCAGCCGCGGUAAUACGUAGGGGGCAAGCGUUAUCCGGAUUCACUGGGUGUAAAGGGAGCGUAGACGGCGACGCAAGUCUGGAGUGAAAGCCCGGGGCCCAACCCCGGGACUGCUCUGGAAACUGUUUGACUGGAGUGCAGGAGAGGUAAGUGGAAUUCCUAGUGUAGCGGUGAAAUGCGUAGAUAUUAGGAGGAACGCCAGUGGCGAAGGCGGUCUGCUGGACAGCAACUGACGGUGAGGCGCGAAAGCGUGGGGAGCAAACAGGAUUAGAUACCCCGGUAAAA
This 448-nucleotide ribosomal RNA is filed under the name uncultured bacterium. RNAcentral describes it as "partial 16S ribosomal RNA". It matches the Rfam family "Bacterial small subunit ribosomal RNA", at positions 330 to 793 of the family's 1533-position model. The record is from RNAcentral.